UGCUGUGCCAGGAGCAGUGGGCACUGUGCGGACGAGAGAAAAAGCAGGGGAAACAGCUGACAGCCAUUGCUCACUUGCUCCCUCCUUUCCUUUUGCCCCUCUGCCUUCUCUGCUCCCCGCGCCUUCUCUCUCCUCUCUCCGUUCAAAACCGAACGGAGUGGGCUGCUCUGCUCUGCUCCGCGCUGCGCCUGGUCUUAACUCUGCUUCCUUUCUUUGGGAGACACGCAGCCCACCCCUUGCCGGCUUGCUUUGCUCCCUUCUUCCUCGCUCCCUCCCCUCAAAGGGUACCACCGGCUACCACACUCAAGCGAGCGGCGCAGGAGCCAGCAAUGGACGCGGAUGUGGCCGACCAAGCUCCGCCCGGGCCUCCAUGGCCUCCUCGGCAGCACCAGCUGGACGCGAGGGAGAAGGUGCCAGACCCACGCUGAUCACUCGGAGGAGCCGGGCGCCCGCCGGUGGUGACGCCUGCAGCCUGCUCGAUCGCGGGCGGAGGGAGGGAGGGAGGAGAAGUCGGGAAUGAAGCCGUAUUGGUCCGGGAGCGUAUACAUAGGAGUAAUAUUCUUUUGCGUAACGUUAGACAAUUUACCAGAUGGGAGUAUAAGUUUCAGUUUUCAGGUAGAGGUUUAAUCAGCAACUGACCAGCUAAGCCUGCCUAUUCUUUGAAUUUCUAUCCAAUCCACUGGCCACUGCCGGCCGGCUAUGCCGCCGACGCGCUGCCUCGCUAUUCCA
Long non-coding RNA from Hordeum vulgare subsp. vulgare (domesticated barley), 729 nucleotides. RefSeq lists it as uncharacterized. Lineage: Eukaryota; Viridiplantae; Streptophyta; Magnoliopsida; Poales; Poaceae. The transcript is spliced from 2 exons. The record is from RefSeq and is a predicted model, not a curated record.